CUGGAAGGCAGCAGCCAUUGGCCAGUCUGGUUAUCAUGUCG
This 41-nucleotide non-coding RNA is filed under the name Karlodinium veneficum. The record is from RNAcentral. Lineage: Eukaryota; Dinophyceae; Gymnodiniales; Kareniaceae.